AAAGCUAUCAAUACCAUGACUAAACCUCUUCUGUUGUAUUUGUCUAAUGCAUCUCUCCUCCAUGCCAUCUCCAGGUGUGUACAGUAGCUGCCCCUUGGUUCACUCAUCACUCUGGUCGUUUCAACACAGUAAAGCUUGACGUACAGUAUCACUUUUGCCUGGCUGUACAACAGGGUCUAAUGAAUUGGUUGGGAGUGGAAGGUCAUCAGAUCAAACUGCAGGUGGGUUUCCGAGAGCAAGAGCCCUGCACAAGCUCAUACCUGAAGUAAGCCCUGCAGCUGAGUUGCUAUGUUUUUAUUUUCUCUUUUCAUCAUGGAAUAACUUCUAUUGGUGCCUCUGCAGCUCACACUCUCGAAACCCUACACAAUUUCAGGAUUGCUUCGUUUCAAGAUGUUACUUCAUUCAACCUCUGACAAGGCUUUUUCUCAGGACCGCAGCAACUUCAGCAGCACAGGGAGAGAGAAGAGCGAAGGCAGAGAGGCAGAGUCAAUGCAAACAGAGAACCCAGCCCAGCAUCUCUGAAUGUCGAAAAUUUGACAACAAUCCAGAUGUGAAUGCGUGCGGUUUCCAGAAGAAGAAAAAAACAGAAUGGCGAGCCAACCUAAGAAAAACAAUUUAAGAGUGGAGAGGGACUGCUUCUCCAGUUCUGCCCACCUCGCUUUGUUGUUCAAGACACUGAUAAAAAGCUGUAUGAGUG
RNAcentral lists this long non-coding RNA (697 nucleotides) under Lepisosteus oculatus (spotted gar). Its description in RNAcentral is "lncRNA (ENSLOCG00000023005.1)". The record is from RNAcentral. Lineage: Eukaryota; Metazoa; Chordata; Actinopteri; Semionotiformes; Lepisosteidae.